This 771-nucleotide long non-coding RNA is filed under the name Brassica napus (rape). RNAcentral describes it as "long non-coding RNA (BNAP_LNC015565)". Lineage: Eukaryota; Viridiplantae; Streptophyta; Magnoliopsida; Brassicales; Brassicaceae. The record is from RNAcentral.
UAAAAUUAAUCGUAGCAUGGACGGUAACGCUAGUAUAUAUAUAAACCUUAAAAUACCCAAUACAAAUAUUAAACUCUUUUUAAUGAUGGGGAAUCUUCGAUCGGGAGGAAAAUAAAUAAAUGAGGGAAAAGUAAGAAAUAAUGUGAUUGGUCGAUGUCAAAAAAGAUGGAUCACUCGUUCUCAUGUCCUAUUGGUUUUUCGUCAUCGUGGAGCUCGCCGUCAAUGGCGAAGAGAGAAAAUGAGUUUACCAGAAGAAGAAAAACAAUCAAAGCGGUUGGAGAAGAUCGAGAGACGAUAGCAACUCUCAACAAGAGUUCUCUGGUUUUGACUUGGAACAGAGAUCGAAACGGAGGUCCGAUCAGAGAGACAGAGACGAAGCGAUAGAGAGGAAGAGAUAGAGACGAACAGAGGAAGAGAGGAAGAGGGGAAGAAUCGAAAGACUUUGUUUUUUUUUCAACUACACGUGUACUCUAAGCGACGGCUCUUCCACCGCUUAAUUAAGAUACGUUUCUUGCCUUAUUUACAUUUUUUCUUUUUCUUUAAAUCAUAAUUACCCUAAGAAACUUGUCUAAGAGACAGGGAUAAUUGUGCUCUAAGGAUCCCGAGCUCGUGGAACAACCUUUGAACAAAUAUGAACAGAUCGAGGCGUAAAGGACCCAAAAUGCAACGAUUAUAGACCAAAACGUAAUAUAAUUAUUUCUUAAUUGACGAAAAACCUGAGGCAAAUUGCCGAAAACCAAAGACGUAUGGAGAAAAUAAAACAAAAGUGGG